This 116-nucleotide ribosomal RNA is filed under the name Mycobacterium tuberculosis. Lineage: Bacteria; Bacillati; Actinomycetota; Actinomycetes; Mycobacteriales; Mycobacteriaceae. The record is from RNAcentral.
CCUGGCGGCACUAGCGCGGUGGUCCCACCUGACCCCAUGCCGAACUCAGAAGUGAAACGCCGUAGCGCCGAUGGUAGUGUGGGGUCUCCCCAUGUGAGAGUAGGGCAUCGCCAGGC